UUGCUUACAUAUCUUUACGUAGGAAUUUCUGUGUUGCUGGCAUUUACAACUUCAUGCUAUGGGGUGGGGAUACAAGUGUGAAAACUUGGAGAUCAAUAAAGGGACAAGUUGUUUAGCAUUUAUCUACCCUCUCGGCAGUGAUUGCAUAACAUGGCCGGCAGAUCAUUGGUGUCUGCGCCAUCUGCUGGUGGAUGGCACAAGAGGUGUUCAAGCGAGUGAAUGACAUGUACGCCGUGGCGGCACAACCCUGUUUCGGGGAGAAAAGGACUGAGGCCCUAUAGCUGCGGGAUAAAUUGUUCUUGUACAAACAAGGGGGUGGCUUUUCGAUACACUUUGGAGAAGACCCUGCUGUUAAAGAAGAUUAUGAUGGUACAGAGCACUCCGGAAACUAGAUACCAGACACCAACAUGAUUUGAUUGUCCAGUAUAUUUGAUGCUGCAAAAUCUGGAAGCUGCAAAUGUAAUGCUGAACAUCUCAUUUCAAAGUAUUAUGUAAUGAUGUUUUUUUCUCUUUUAACUUUUUCUUUAUAUCUUAAUAAAUGUCGCGGUUAUUAAUUUAACUUUGGGAUAAGAAUACGAUUUUCUGUCUCAUUUGGUACAUAGAAGCUUGAGCCUUUUCCCUUUUG
Triticum aestivum (bread wheat) is the source of this 625-nucleotide long non-coding RNA. RefSeq lists it as uncharacterized. The transcript has 3 exons. The record is from RefSeq and is a predicted model, not a curated record. Lineage: Eukaryota; Viridiplantae; Streptophyta; Magnoliopsida; Poales; Poaceae.